AGCCAGCCAGCCAGCCGCGCCAGGACUCCCGACUCCUGCAGGUAGCCCUUGGGUAAAGCAGCUUUCAGUGAAUUAAAGCAGCUCACAAUCCAACUCAGGACACAGAGGCACCCCAGCUGAAGAUUCUACCACUGGCAAGCCUGUGAACUUGACAUUACAGCGUCUGCUUUGACUUGCACAACCAGGAGACGGCAUUCUUCUCUGAGUCACUAAAUGCCGGUGUGCAUCCUGUACUCCAGCAAGAGAAGAAGGGAGGAGCUUCUUGGAUGACAAUGGACGUUGCACUGUGCAGGAUGAGGGCAGAGUGUGUGACAUCACCACCACGAGGGUUCAGCGUGAUCUUCUGUGUCUCCCUUCCCAGCCAGCA
RNAcentral lists this long non-coding RNA (367 nucleotides) under Meriones unguiculatus (Mongolian gerbil). RNAcentral describes it as "lncRNA (ENSMUGG00000008081.1)". Lineage: Eukaryota; Metazoa; Chordata; Mammalia; Rodentia; Muridae. The record is from RNAcentral.